This 393-nucleotide ribosomal RNA is filed under the name uncultured soil bacterium. RNAcentral's name for it is "bacterial SSU rRNA". It matches the Rfam family "Bacterial small subunit ribosomal RNA", at positions 975 to 1368 of the family's 1533-position model. The record is from RNAcentral.
CCACCUUUGACAUGUACGGAAUUCGCCAGAGAUGGCUUAGUGCUCGAAAGAGAACCGUAACACAGGUGCUGCAUGGCUGUCGUCAGCUCGUGUCGUGAGAUGUUGGGUUAAGUCCCGCAACGAGCGCAACCCUUGUCAUUAGUUGCUACAUUCAGUUGGGCACUCUAAUGAGACUGCCGGUGACAAACCGGAGGAAGGUGGGGAUGACGUCAAGUCCUCAUGGCCCUUAUAGGUGGGGCUACACACGUCAUACAAUGGCUGGUACAAAGGGUUGCCAACCCGCGAGGGGGAGCUAAUCCCGUAAAACCAGUCGUAGUCCGGAUCGCAGUCUGCAACUCGACUGCGUGAAGUCGGAAUCGCUAGUAAUCGUGGAUCAGAAUGUCACGGUGAAUA